RNAcentral lists this ribosomal RNA (1360 nucleotides) under Salmonella enterica. RNAcentral describes it as "partial 23S ribosomal RNA". It matches the Rfam family "Bacterial large subunit ribosomal RNA", at positions 1589 to 2925 of the family's 2925-position model. RNAcentral also lists the same sequence under 7 other names. Lineage: Bacteria; Pseudomonadati; Pseudomonadota; Gammaproteobacteria; Enterobacterales; Enterobacteriaceae. The record is from RNAcentral.
AGCAACAAAUGCCCUGCUUCCAGGAAAAGCCUCUAAGCAUCAGGUAACAUCAAAUCGUACCCCAAACCGACACAGGUGGUCAGGUAGAGAAUACCAAGGCGCUUGAGAGAACUCGGGUGAAGGAACUAGGCAAAAUGGUGCCGUAACUUCGGGAGAAGGCACGCUGACACGUAGGUGAAGUGAUUUACUCAUGGAGCUGAAGUCAGUCGAAGAUACCAGCUGGCUGCAACUGUUUAUUAAAAACACAGCACUGUGCAAACACGAAAGUGGACGUAUACGGUGUGACGCCUGCCCGGUGCCGGAAGGUUAAUUGAUGGGGUCAGCGCAAGCGAAGCUCCUGAUCGAAGCCCCGGUAAACGGCGGCCGUAACUAUAACGGUCCUAAGGUAGCGAAAUUCCUUGUCGGGUAAGUUCCGACCUGCACGAAUGGCGUAAUGAUGGCCAGGCUGUCUCCACCCGAGACUCAGUGAAAUUGAACUCGCUGUGAAGAUGCAGUGUACCCGCGGCAAGACGGAAAGACCCCGUGAACCUUUACUAUAGCUUGACACUGAACAUUGAGCCUUGAUGUGUAGGAUAGGUGGGAGGCUUUGAAGUGUGGACGCCAGUCUGCAUGGAGCCGACCUUGAAAUACCACCCUUUAAUGUUUGAUGUUCUAACGUGGACCCGUGAUCCGGGUUGCGGACAGUGUCUGGUGGGUAGUUUGACUGGGGCGGUCUCCUCCUAAAGAGUAACGGAGGAGCACGAAGGUUGGCUAAUCCUGGUCGGACAUCAGGAGGUUAGUGCAAUGGCAUAAGCCAGCUUGACUGCGAGCGUGACGGCGCGAGCAGGUGCGAAAGCAGGUCAUAGUGAUCCGGUGGUUCUGAAUGGAAGGGCCAUCGCUCAACGGAUAAAAGGUACUCCGGGGAUAACAGGCUGAUACCGCCCAAGAGUUCAUAUCGACGGCGGUGUUUGGCACCUCGAUGUCGGCUCAUCACAUCCUGGGGCUGAAGUAGGUCCCAAGGGUAUGGCUGUUCGCCAUUUAAAGUGGUACGCGAGCUGGGUUUAGAACGUCGUGAGACAGUUCGGUCCCUAUCUGCCGUGGGCGCUGGAGAACUGAGGGGGGCUGCUCCUAGUACGAGAGGACCGGAGUGGACGCAUCACUGGUGUUCGGGUUGUCAUGCCAAUGGCACUGCCCGGUAGCUAAAUGCGGAAGAGAUAAGUGCUGAAAGCAUCUAAGCACGAAACUUGCCCCGAGAUGAGUUCUCCCUGAGACUUAGAGUCUCCUGAAGGAACGUUGAAGACGACGACGUUGAUAGGCCGGGUGUGUAAGCGCAGCGAUGCGUUGAGCUAACCGGUACUAAUGAACCGUGAGGCUUAACCUU